Molecule: long non-coding RNA, 901 nt
Filed under: Mus musculus (house mouse)
Lineage: Eukaryota; Metazoa; Chordata; Mammalia; Rodentia; Muridae
Description: predicted gene 14508
Source: RNAcentral
GAGGGAGUUCCAAUGAAGGUAACCGGAUGCUUCCUGUCUGCAAGAGCAGACCAGAGACCCACUGGAAAUGCUUUCCCGGAACACCAGACCCACUGUGUGUUCCAUGCUCCUGAGAAGUGGAUGGUAAGCCAACGGAACACCAGACCCACUGUGUGUUCCAUGCUCCUGAGAAGUGGAUGGUAAGCCAACGGAACACCAGACCCACUGUGUGUUCCAUGCUCCUGAGAAGUGGAUGGUAAGCCAAGCCUCUACAGCUAGACGAGGAAGUAUGUUGCAGUAGGUGACUCUACAAGUGGACACGUGAACACUUCACCACACCUUUCUACCUCCCUAGAGCAUCUUCAUUCUCAUUCCCAACUCUUAAGAACAUGCACUUGUGUGUGUGUGUGUGUGUGUGUGUGUGUGUGUACAGGCUACUAGCUUGAGGUUCCUGCCUCAAGGGAAGGGCACAUUCCUGUCACUCAACACUACGGGAAUCCCAGUCCUGAAGUGACUUUAAGAUCUCACAGCUGCCAACAGGCCUCUGAGGCCUUGGGGUGGAGGGAAACCAAGAGCUCUAACACAGUGUGACCAGGCCCUUCCACAUGAAGCUGGACGGCCUAUGCCACACACAGGCAUAUUGAGGGCUCUGAGCGGUGGCCUGGGGAGUGGCCACCCGCAUCCUACAGAGCCCUGCAGUGGUUAUGUUUGAGUCUGGGAAAUCUGCUGGGGACAAAUAACCCAUGCACACAGGAGCACACAAGAGAAGUGGAGUGGGAGGAUCCAGGUCCUAGUCCAGCUCUGCCCUAGCAGGGCCUCCAAGGCAUGCACAGGUCCAGUGAGCUCCUACGGGGCAGGCAGAGCAGGAUGGCUGCUGAUGAGAGAACAAGGAGAGGCCCUGUGUGCCUCAGCUGCACGCUGC